AGGAGAGAUGGCUGAGUGGUUUAAAGCGGUAGAUUGCUAAUCUGUUGUAUAAUAUUUUUAUACCGAGGGUUCGAAUCCCUUUCUCUCCUU
RNAcentral lists this transfer RNA (90 nucleotides) under Caloglossa beccarii. Its description in RNAcentral is "tRNA-Ser". It matches the Rfam family "tRNA". From Rfam's summary of the family: Transfer RNA (tRNA) molecules are approximately 80 nucleotides in length. Lineage: Eukaryota; Rhodophyta; Florideophyceae; Ceramiales; Delesseriaceae. The record is from RNAcentral.